This 482-nucleotide long non-coding RNA is filed under the name Salmo salar (Atlantic salmon). RNAcentral describes it as "lncRNA (ENSSSAG00000106903.1)". Lineage: Eukaryota; Metazoa; Chordata; Actinopteri; Salmoniformes; Salmonidae. The record is from RNAcentral.
GUCAAAUACAUGUCCCCCUGACCCUUCUGUUGGACAUACUGUUGCUAGGUUAAAUACAUGUCCCCUUGACCCUUCUGUUGGACAUACUGUUGCUAGGUAAAAUACAUGUCCCCCUGACCCUUCUGUUGCUAGGUCAAAUACAUGUCCCCCUGACAAUUCUGAAGCUAGGUCAAAUACAUGUCCCCCUGACCCUUCUGUUGCUAGGUCAAAUACAUGUCCCCCGCACCCUUCUGUUGGACAUACUGUUGCUAGGUAAAAUACAUGUCCCAAUGACCCUUCUGUUGCUAGGUCAAAUACAUGUCCCCCGACCCUUCUGUUGCUAGGUCAAAUACAUAUCCCCCUGACCCUUCUGUUGCUAGGUCAAAUACAUGUCCCCCUGAUUCUUCUGUUGCUAGGUCAAAUACAUGUCCCCCGACCCUUCUGUUGCUAGGUCAAAUACAUAUCCCCCUGACCCUUCUGUUGCUAGGUCAAAUACAUGUCCC